Molecule: ribosomal RNA, 254 nt
Filed under: uncultured bacterium
Lineage: Bacteria
Description: partial 16S ribosomal RNA
Rfam family: Bacterial small subunit ribosomal RNA
Source: RNAcentral
GACGAACCGUGCGAACGUUAUUCGGAAUUAUUGGGCGUAAAGAGCUCGUAGGCGGUGUGUCACGUCGAUCGUGAAAACUUACAGCUUAACUGUGAGCGUGCGGUCGAUACGGGCAUCACUGGAGUUCGGCAGGGGAGACUGGAAUUCCUGGUGUAGCGGUGAAAUGCGCAGAUAUCAGGAGGAACACCGGUGGCGAAGGCGGCAUCCUGGACCAACACUGACACUGAUGAGCGAAAGCCAGGGGAGCAAACGGG